This 885-nucleotide ribosomal RNA is filed under the name uncultured archaeon. RNAcentral describes it as "bacterial SSU rRNA". It matches the Rfam family "Archaeal small subunit ribosomal RNA", at positions 455 to 1339 of the family's 1478-position model. The record is from RNAcentral.
GUGCCAGCCGCCGCGGUAAAACCAGCACCUCAAGUGGUCAGGAGGAUUAUUGGGCCUAAAGCAUCCGUAGCCUGCUCUGUAAGUUUCCGGUUAAAUCCAUUAGCUUAACUGAUGGGCCGCCGGAAAAACUGCAGAGCUAGGGAGUGGGAGAGGUAGACGGUACUCGGUAGGAAGGGGUAAAAUCCUUUGAUCUAUUGAUGACCACCUGUGGCGAAGGCGGUCUACCAGAACACGUUCGACGGUGAGGGAUGAAAGCUGGGGGAGCAAACCGGAUUAGAUACCCGGGUAGUCCCAGCUGUAAACGAUGCAGACUCGGUGAUGCCCUGGCUUGUGGCCAGUGCAGUGCCGCAGGGAAGCCGUUAAGUUUGCCGCCUGGGAAGUACGUACGCAAGUAUGAAACUUAAAGGAAUUGGCGGGGGAGCACCACAAGGGGUGAAGCCUGCGGUUCAAUUGGAGUCAACGCCAGAAAUCUUACCCGAGGAGACAGCAGAAUGAAGGUCAAGCUGGAGACUUUACCAGACAAGCUGAGAAGUGGUGCAUGGCCGUCGCCAGCUCGUGCCGUGAGAUGUCCUGUUAAGUCAGGUAACGAGCGAGAUCCCUGCCUCUAGUUGCCACCAUUACUCUCAGGAGUAGUGGGGCGAAUUAGCGGGACCGCCACAGUUAAUGUGGAGGAAGGAAGGGGCCACGGCAGGUCAGUAUGCCCUGAAACCUUGGGGCCACACGCGGGCUGCAAUGAUAGUGACAAUGAGUUCCUAAACCGAAAGGUGGAGGCAAUCUUCAAACGCUAUCACAGUUAUGAUUGAGGGCUGCAACUCGCCCUCAUGAAUAUGGAAUCCCUAGUAACUGCGUGUCAUUACCGCGCGGUGAAUACGUCCCUGCUCCUUG